CAUACACAGACAUACACGCUCCGAGAGAGGCAGAUACUUGCAAACUAAAGCACAGAGCUAGCAUGAUCCCAAGAGCGCCAAGCCUCUUCCACCUCGAGGAGGGGGUGGGCGCCUCGACCUCGACGCCAAUGGCGGCCUCAUCCGCCGGCGAGCUCGUAGGGCUCCGCCUCAUCAUACAGCCGUCGCCGAGGAAACAACAGCUGCCGACGGUCCUGAGGAGGUCAGCGGUGAGGGUCCCGGCGGCGGCGACGGGCGCGUCCAGCAAGUGCCACGAGAACGGCAGGGUGUUUGUCGGGCUCGAGUUCUUGAAACGCUGCUUCUGCUGCCACAAGAACCUCGACGCCACCAUGGACGUCUUCGUGUACAAGUAAGAAUCCCUGCCACUAUCCAAUAACCUUCCUCGAUCUCUCAGGAGCUCGUUCACUCUCGAGCCUAGCUCGACCGUGUGAGUUAGUGACUCAUGUGGGUUUCGGGUGACUUAAUUUUGCAGAGGAGAGCA
This 499-nucleotide long non-coding RNA is filed under the name Setaria viridis. RNAcentral's name for it is "long non-coding RNA (SVIR_LNC011421)". The record is from RNAcentral. Lineage: Eukaryota; Viridiplantae; Streptophyta; Magnoliopsida; Poales; Poaceae.